RNAcentral lists this transfer RNA (83 nucleotides) under Echinostoma caproni. It matches the Rfam family "tRNA". From Rfam's summary of the family: Transfer RNA (tRNA) molecules are approximately 80 nucleotides in length. Their secondary structure includes four short double-helical elements and three loops (D, anti-codon, and T loops). The record is from Rfam by way of RNAcentral. Lineage: Eukaryota; Metazoa; Platyhelminthes; Trematoda; Plagiorchiida; Echinostomatidae.
GGUAGGUUGGCCAAGUGGUUAAAGCGGUGGACUUAAGUUCCACUGGUGAUGAUCUCCUCGUGGGUUUGAACCCCACACUACCA